Molecule: long non-coding RNA, 2703 nt
Filed under: Triticum aestivum (bread wheat)
Lineage: Eukaryota; Viridiplantae; Streptophyta; Magnoliopsida; Poales; Poaceae
Description: long non-coding RNA (TAES_LNC028623)
Source: RNAcentral
CACCCGCUGGGCCGGAACGGCCCCGUCGACAAGUCAAGCCCAACAGGCGGCUGACGGCCCAAGUCUGGGACACUACUCGCUAGGGUUAUGUAUCACCGGUUCCCCUCCUGCGGAGGGCGGCGUUGAUGUAACUGGCUAGGCGGCGGCUCUCUCUCUCGAUCCCCCCUUUCUUCCUCCACCGAACCCCCAAACCGGCUGGAAUUCUUGUAUCCUUGAUCCCGUGUGAGAAAUAUUGUAGCGGGAACCUAACAGAUUUCAACAGAGUUCAUUGUGGGAACCUGAACCCUACUACCAUGUCUCCACUUUCAUGCAGUGGGCUUGACUGGAUCAUAAAGUUUUCUCGCCGAAGAUUCCCUACGCCACCAGCUACUACCCUGAUCCUCUCCCACCAUGGCACAACAAGGCACCUCUUCCUCUCCAGUGAAAGUAACUGAAGGCCAUCCCACCUGACAUCCAUGGAGCUAAUUUCCAUUUCGGAAUUAAGUGUGAGUUCUCUACGGGCAACAAAAUCUAUCAUCUAUCUCCUGUGCUAAUUUCCAUUUCAAAACAUGCAUCAAAGAUUUACUUGACUCUUCUGUGGUAUAUAGUUUUGUGUUUAACAACUUACAUAAACAUGUGGAUGUUCUUUGUUUCUUGGUACGAUAUAUUAUAGUUACAGAUUACAUAAACAUGCUUGCUACCUGCGGAGUAGAAAUACUGUGUGGUGUCUAUUAACUGUCUGGUUCUUGAUUUAAAAUCUAACCUACCAUGGUCGGCAUUCGGUAUCUUGGGUGGAAAGCUUCCGAUUGAUGUCUGAUUUUAAAGUGGCAAAAGUAAGAUGAAAAAUUAUGGUUACUAUAAAGUUGGAUUGAAAAGAAAGCAUGGAUCAAGCAUUUUUCGGCUCCACCUUCAUACAUCACCAAUUGCUGCUACAUUUUUUUCAGCCUGACUUUUCUAAUAGUCAAAAUAUCUGAUUGUACUGCGUUACAUUUAAUAGCAUGAAGAGACUGAAACAUGUAUCCAUCUCUGCCUAGCCUUAACUUAACCUACUCAUGGAACUCAGUUGACGAAUCUUGGUAGACCCUCACCCCUCAUGCCUCUCCCUAUUUCUCCUGCUCGCUCCAGCGCUUUCCCCUGCUUUCUUUUAUCCGUUGUUACUAAAACUUUAAAGAACCAUGGGAAACACGCAGGGUGUGGUCGCCGUCCAUUCUGAUUUGUUUCUUGCGCCUAUCUCCUCCCCCUCCCACUCUUUGUUUAUCUGUCCGUCUAUCUUUCACUUCCUUUCCUUGCUGAAUUUCUGUCUGAAUGACCAUGACUCAGAUGAGCAAACAGUAGAUGGAAACCCGUCCAAAUACAAUCUAUUAUUAUAUGCUGCCGCGCUUGAUUUGGAAGAUAAUCGGCUUGCCAGUAUUAAUUUCCUGCUGAUUGAUACACAUAUGAAUACAGAGAAAUUACCAGCCGUACGAGUAUAUUAAGAUGUGGUGAAAAUGUGCAAGUUUGGUUCUACUGUACCUUCUGGUUUAUAUUACCAAUGUGGUUGCUUAAUGUUUAUACUAUAACAUAUCUUACUAGGUACAUGCUAACAACAAUCCUCUUGGUUUAAAUUUGACAUUUACCAAGGCUCCUCUUGGUUCUACUCUAUGAAUACUAGGUACAUGCUAACAGCAAUCCUCUUGGUUUAAAUUUGACAUUUACCAAGGCUCCUCUUGGUUCUACUCUAUGAAUUGUAUUGAUAAUUUUGUAAUUGACGGCUGAUUGGUUUAGUUAUUCAGGUAGACGUCCAGUGGUUAAGACUCUGUGCAGUCAACCAUGGCUUUGCGAGAGGACCAAGACAAGAGGUAAACACAAUGGCAUAGCGUAGUAGUAUGUAGCAGUUCUUUCAUUAUAACAGCUUUUAGUUAUCAUCGGAUUUUAGUAUCAGUAUUUCUCAGAAAACAGUAUGUAUACAUCAUAUCUAAAUUUCAUCUUUCCUUUGUUUGGAUCGGCUAUUGGCGAACGUAAAACUAAACAGAACCAGGUCAUGUGAUCAGAAAUACAAUUGCUCAGGUUUCCUUUGACGACAUAGGUAGUUUGGUAGGUUAGUAAAACUAAGUGAACGAUGUAAUAGUCUAUAAGAUGUAUCAGUUUGUCGUGUGAUCCUUUUGCAUAUGUUUACGGAUGGAUACUCGAUGCGCUCGGUUCAUACCGUUGCUGAUACUUACCUUCUCUUGCUGAUUUCCCCAAAUCAUGCAUAUAGCUAUUUUAGUAUGGGUUAGGCAAUCUCCCUUUGUAAAAAAGUAUAUAUGUAUGUCACCCUUUGUGUGAGUGAAAUAUCAAUCAGCAUUUUACUGGACCAUAUGCUCUUCGUACUAAAUUUAAUGUUUUCUACUGAACCAUAUUUAAAUUUGUAAUGGAUUUGGAUUCUUUGUACCAGACUAAUGCUUCGCUGAGAAACAACAGACGCUGGAUCAUUGACUUAGACAGUCACCAUGCACCAAGGCGGUUCCUACCGGGUUACAAGUGUUGUCUUCCUCACGUGUCUUUGAGAUAUCCUAAUGUUGGAUUAGUGGUCUAAGUGUUCCCUUUUGUAUCUGUUUGUCGCCACUCUACCUCUAUCUCUUUUUGUACCACCUUUAUUGCAGUUACGGAUAUAACAUUUGAUCGCUUAAUGGCUAAUAAAGUUGUGGGACAUAAGGUUGGACUGCUUUGAGUUGUUUUAAUUCUGAUGAAAAUGCCCAUUGGAUU